RNAcentral lists this ribosomal RNA (488 nucleotides) under Lodderomyces parapsilosis. Its description in RNAcentral is "eukaryotic LSU rRNA". The stretch from base 148 to 301 matches the Rfam family "5.8S ribosomal RNA". Lineage: Eukaryota; Fungi; Ascomycota; Pichiomycetes; Serinales; Debaryomycetaceae. The record is from RNAcentral.
CAAAUUGAAGUGCUUACUGCAUUUUUUCUUACACAUGUGUUUUUCUUUUUUUGAAAACUUUGCUUUGGUAGGCCUUCUAUAUGGGGCCUGCCAGAGAUUAAACUCAACCAAAUUUUAUUUAAUGUCAACCGAUUAUUUAAUAGUCAAAACUUUCAACAACGGAUCUCUUGGUUCUCGCAUCGAUGAAGAACGCAGCGAAAUGCGAUAAGUAAUAUGAAUUGCAGAUAUUCGUGAAUCAUCGAAUCUUUGAACGCACAUUGCGCCCUUUGGUAUUCCAAAGGGCAUGCCUGUUUGAGCGUCAUUUCUCCCUCAAACCCUCGGGUUUGGUGUUGAGCGAUACGCUGGGUUUGCUUGAAAGAAAGGCGGAGUAUAAACUAAUGGAUAGGUUUUUUCCACUCAUUGGUACAAACUCCAAAACUUCUUCCAAAUUCGACCUCAAAUCAGGUAGGACUACCCGCUGAACUUAAGCAUAUCAAUAAGCGGAGGAA